CAGAACGAACGCUGGUAGCGUGGAUUAGGCAUGCAAGUCGAACGGGAUCCGGGAGGUAGCAAUACUUCCUGGUGAGAGUGGCGGAUUGGGAGGAACACGUGAGCAACCUGCCCUUGAGUUGGGGAAAACCGUUGGAAACGACGGCUAAUACCGGGAUGCGGCGCCCGAAGACAUCUUCGGAGCGCUAAAGGGGGCCGCAAGGCUCCCGCUCGAGGAGGGGCUCGCGCACCAGUCAGCUUGUUGGCGGGGUAACGGCCCACCAAGGCCUACGGUUAGCUGGUCUGAGAGGAUGACCAGCCCCACUGGGACUGAGAUACUGCCCAGACUCCUACGGGAGGCUGCAGUCGAGGAUCAUUUGCAAUGGGCGAAAGCCUGACAAUGCGACGCUGCGUGGAGGAUGAAGGCCUUCGGGUUGUAAACUCCUGUCAUGGGGGAACAGGCGAGGGGACCCAACACGUCCCUUAGUUGAGUGUACCCCAAGAGGAAUUGGCGGCUAACUCUGUGCCAGCCGCCGC
This 515-nucleotide ribosomal RNA is filed under the name uncultured bacterium. RNAcentral describes it as "bacterial SSU rRNA". It matches the Rfam family "Bacterial small subunit ribosomal RNA", at positions 25 to 518 of the family's 1533-position model. The record is from RNAcentral.